AACGAACGCUGGCGGCAGGCCUAACACAUGCAAGUCGAGCGAACCCUUCGGGGUUAGCGGCGGACGGGUUAGUAACGCGUGGGAAUAUACCCUUUGGUACGGAAUAGCCUCGGGAAACUGAGAGUAAUACCGUAUGUGCCCUGGGAAGGAUUAUCGCCAAGAUUAGCCGCGUGGAUUAGAUAGUUGGUGGGGUAAGUGGCCUACCAAGUCUACGAUCCAUAGCUGGUUUGAGAGGAUGAUCAGCAACACUGGGACUGAGACACGGCCCAGACUCCUACGGGAGGCAGCAGUGGGGGAAUCUUAGACAAUGGGCGGCAAGCCUGAUCUAGCCAUG
Molecule: ribosomal RNA, 334 nt
Filed under: uncultured bacterium
Lineage: Bacteria
Description: bacterial SSU rRNA
Rfam family: Bacterial small subunit ribosomal RNA
Source: RNAcentral